This 1315-nucleotide long non-coding RNA is filed under the name Capsicum annuum. RNAcentral's name for it is "long non-coding RNA (CANN_LNC003755)". Lineage: Eukaryota; Viridiplantae; Streptophyta; Magnoliopsida; Solanales; Solanaceae. The record is from RNAcentral.
GCCGUUGUAGUUUUUGCACCAAAGUGGUACCAUGCAUAAUUCCAUGGUUUUGUUUUAUUCGUGAAAAUGGAUGAUGAUGGUAUGCCCACUAGGCACAUGAGACCUUCCCAAUUGCGACAUAAAUAUAUCCAACCUGUGGUUGCCAAUUUUUUGAGCUUGCACUGAUUCAAAUACCAAAAGCCAAAUGAGAGAUCUGAAGCCAAAAGAAAUAUACAUCAUAUUACUAAUAUAUAUAAUCGGCCUAAAGCAGGUAGGAGAUCGUUGGUCGAAGGACAUUUUUGUCAUUUCACAUCCUAAAAUGAGGGCCUUGGAUAAACAAGUUGUCCAAUUCAGUGAAAGUCCUCCAAAUUUUUUAAAUUAGAUGGGAGGGACAAAAGUUUUUUGAGUUUUUUUUUAAAGUUUUUCCGUUCCAACAACUUAUCUCAGUUGUAGAACAACUUUGAUAGUUGUUCGACAACUAAGAGAAGUUGUUCAACAACUGUGCGAAGUUGUUCAGACAACUAAUGUAGUUGCCCAACAACUAUUUCAAUUGUUCAAGGGCCUUAGCUUUUUUGAGGGACAGGUUUGUGGGAUCCACUUGCCCUUUUUUUAAUUAGAAACUUGGAAGGCCCUUCUGGCUUCUUUUUCUCCUAAAAAGACUCCAUUCCAAAGGACAUUUAUGUCAUUUCACAAUAAUUUCAAUCGAUUAUUUUUAUGAACAUUAGCAUGCUACCAUCAACAUCCAUUUCUAAAGUAGUAAUAUUUUCCAAAAAGAAAAUCCCAUCGAAUCUGACAAUACAACAUCUCAAUACUCAAGUCGAAAAUUAUCUCUUCAUGAUUGUUAAAUCGAAUACUCAAAUUAAAAACUACCUCUUCAUAAUUGUUAAAUUAAAAACCAAAUAUACUAAAAAAAAAUGAAUAAAAAAAACAAAAUUUACCCUAAAAAAUCAACAAAUCCAGAUAGAGAAAGUUUCUUGCGAGCGUUCUCCAUAAGCUACAACUUUUUUGGUCACCCCUCUUUCCUAAAUAGCUCUCUCAUAUUGUUGUUAAUGACGGACUAGGGGCCAGUGCUCAUGGGAGUGGUACUCUUCAUAUUGUUGCAACCAGGACUUCUAUUUCAGAUACCUGUUAAUAAUCGUACACUGGAAUUUGGAACUCUUGUAAGAUGCAAGAUGAUAAUGGAACGGUCAUGGGUAUUCUCGACCAUGGUUUGACGAUGGAGAGGAUGGGAGGAGAAAGAGGAUAGAAGGAGAGAUUGGUGGUUGGGGUUUAGGAUAAUGAAAUUGAUAAUAUAAAUAAGGUAUGUUAGGUAAAAUAAGGAAAUGUAAAGCGAUGA